RNAcentral lists this ribosomal RNA (253 nucleotides) under uncultured bacterium. RNAcentral's name for it is "partial 16S ribosomal RNA". It matches the Rfam family "Bacterial small subunit ribosomal RNA", at positions 524 to 776 of the family's 1533-position model. The record is from RNAcentral.
UACGAAGGGUGCUAGCGUUGUUCGGAAUCACUGGGCGUAAAGCGCGCGUAGGCGGCGAAUCAAGUCAGAGGUGAAAUCCCUGGGCUCAACCCAGGAAUUGCCUUUGAAACUGAUUUGCUAGAGUGUCGGAGGGGAUAGCGGAAUUGCUAAUGUAGAGGUGAAAUUCGUAGAUAUUAGCAGGAACACCGGUGGCGAAGGCGGCUAUCUGGACGACAACUGACGCUGAGGCGCGAAAGUGUGGGGAUCAAACAGG